UACGUAGGGAGCAAGCGUUGUUCGGAUUUACUGGGCGUAAAGGGCGCGUAGGCGGCAAAUUAAGUCAGCUGUGAAAUCUCCGAGCUUAACUCGGAACGGUCAGCUGAUACUGAUCUGCUAGAGUGCGGAAGGGGCAAUCGGAAUUCUUGGUGUAGCGGUGAAAUGCGUAGAUAUCAAGAGGAACACCUGAGGUGAAGACGGGUUGCUGGGCUGACACUGACGCUGAGGCGCGAAAGCUAGGGGAGCAAACGGG
RNAcentral lists this ribosomal RNA (253 nucleotides) under uncultured bacterium. RNAcentral describes it as "partial 16S ribosomal RNA". It matches the Rfam family "Bacterial small subunit ribosomal RNA", at positions 524 to 776 of the family's 1533-position model. The record is from RNAcentral.